AUUGAACGCUGGCGGCAUGCCUUACACAUGCAAGUCGAACGGUAACAGGUCUUCGGAUGCUGACGAGUGGCGAACGGGUGAGUAAUACAUCGGAACGUGCCUAGUAGUGGGGGAUAACUACUCGAAAGAGUGGCCAAUACCGCAUGAGAUCUACGGAUGAAAGCAGGGGAUCGCAAGACCUUGUGCUACUAGAGCGGCCGAUGGCAGAUUAGGUAGUUGGUGGGAUAAAAGCUCACCAAGCCGACGAUCUGUAGCUGGUCUGAGAGGACGAUCAGCCACACUGGGACUGAGAAACGGCCCAGACUCCUACGGGAGGCAGCAGUGGGGAAUUUUGGACAAUGGGCGCAAGCCUGAUCCAGCAAUGCCGCGUGCAGGAUGAAGGCCUUCGGGUUGUAAACUGCUUUUGUACGGAACGAAAAGCCCCGGGUUAAUACCCUGGGGUCAUGACGGUACCGUAAGAAUAAGCACCGGCUAACUACGUGCCAGCCGCCGCCGUAA
This 498-nucleotide ribosomal RNA is filed under the name uncultured bacterium. RNAcentral describes it as "partial 16S ribosomal RNA". It matches the Rfam family "Bacterial small subunit ribosomal RNA", at positions 30 to 523 of the family's 1533-position model. The record is from RNAcentral.